UGACCUCGGAUCAGGUAGGAUUACCCGCUGAACUUAAGCAUAUCAAUAAGCGGAGGAAAAGAAACCAACAGGGAUUGCCCCAGUAACGGCGAGUGAAGCGGCAACAGCUCAAAUUUGAAAUCUGGCCCUCGGGUCCGAGUUGUAAUUUGGAGAGGAUGCUUUUGGCGCGGCGCCGUCCGAGUUCCUUGGAACAGGACGCCAUAGAGGGUGAGAGCCCCGUACGGGCGGCCGCCUAGCCUUUGUAAAGCUCCUUCGACGAGUCGAGUAGUUUGGGAAUGCUGCUCAAAAUGGGAGGUAAAUUUCUUCUAAAGCUAAAUACCGGCCAGAGACCGAUAGCGCACAAGUAGAGUGAUCGAAAGAUGAAAAGCACUUUGAAAAGAGGGUUAAAAAGUACGUGAAAUUGUUGAAAGGGAAGCGCCUGUGACCAGACUUGCGGCCCGUGGAUCAUCCGGUGUUCUUCACCGGUGCACUCCGCGGGCUGCAGGCCAGCAUCGGUUUUCCUAGGGGGAUAAAGGUCGCGGGAACGUAGCUCCCUCGGGAGUGU
RNAcentral lists this ribosomal RNA (544 nucleotides) under Ophiostoma piceae. RNAcentral's name for it is "eukaryotic LSU rRNA". It matches the Rfam family "Eukaryotic large subunit ribosomal RNA", at positions 1 to 554 of the family's 3401-position model. RNAcentral also lists the same sequence under 3 other names. Lineage: Eukaryota; Fungi; Ascomycota; Sordariomycetes; Ophiostomatales; Ophiostomataceae. The record is from RNAcentral.